UUCCUUCAGUUUACCUCUUCAAGUUCCGAGAAGGCCGAAACCGCCGAACCCGAAAUCAAAUUAGAAGAGGGUGUUUUUCUCGUAGAAUCGGAAAUAGCAGGAAUAUUGUUAUUUUUUU
Eurytemora carolleeae is the source of this 118-nucleotide long non-coding RNA. RefSeq lists it as uncharacterized. NCBI's taxonomy places the organism in Eukaryota, Metazoa, Arthropoda, Copepoda, Calanoida, Temoridae. The record is from RefSeq and is a predicted model, not a curated record. The transcript is spliced from 3 exons.